RNAcentral lists this ribosomal RNA (368 nucleotides) under uncultured bacterium. RNAcentral's name for it is "bacterial SSU rRNA". It matches the Rfam family "Bacterial small subunit ribosomal RNA", at positions 1 to 334 of the family's 1533-position model. The record is from RNAcentral.
CAUACGCGUUCAGAGUUUGAUCCUGGCUCAGGAUGAACGCUGGCGGCGUGCUUAACACAUGCAAGUCGAACGGAGUUCUGAUGUGUGAAGCGAAGUAGCUUGCUACGGAGUGGAACUUUUCAGAACUUAGUGGCGGACGGGUGAGUAACGCGUGGGUAACCUGCCUCAUACAGGGGGAUAACAGUUAGAAAUGACUGCUAACACCGCAUAACAUGGCGAGACCGCAUGACCUUGCCAUCAAAAAUUUAUUGGUAUGAGAUGGGCCCGCGUCUGAUUAGCUAGUUGGUGGGGUAAUGGCCUACCAAGGCGACGAUCAGUAGCCGGCUUGAGAGAGUGACCGGCCACAUUGGGACUGAGACACGGCCCAA